ACAAUAAAAGCAAAAAUUGCAUUUAGUUUCGACCUAAAAUUUUAGUAUUUAAUUACUUUAUUGUU
This 65-nucleotide transfer RNA is filed under the name Stenopsocus aphidiformis. Its description in RNAcentral is "tRNA-Arg". RNAcentral also lists the same sequence under 3 other names. Lineage: Eukaryota; Metazoa; Arthropoda; Insecta; Psocodea; Stenopsocidae. The record is from RNAcentral.